UACGUAGGGCGCGAGCGUUGUCCGGAAUUAUUGGGCGUAAAGGGCUUGUAGGCGGCUGGUCGCGUCUGCCGUGAAAUCCUCUGGCUCAGCUGGGGGCGUGCGGUGGGUACGGGCUGGCUUGAGUGCGGUAGGGGAGACUGGAACUCCUGGUGUAGCGGUGGAAUGCGCAGAUAUCAGGAGGAACACCGGUGGCGAAGGCGGGUCUCUGGGCCGUUACUGACGCUGAGGAGCGAAAGCGUGGGGAGCGAACAGGAUUAGAUACCCUGGUAGUCCACGCUGUAAACGUUGGGCACUAGGUGUGGGGGGCCUUUUCCGGGUUUUCCGCGCCGUAGCUAACGCAUUAAGUGCCCCGCCUGGGGAGUACGGCCGCAAGGCUAAAGCUCAAAGGAAUUGACGGGGGCCCGCACAAGCGGCGGAGCAUGCGGAUUAAUUCGAUGCAACGCGAAGAACCUUACCAAGGCUUGACAUGGGCUGGAUUGCUUCGGAGACGGGGUUUCCCUUUUUUGGGCUGGUUCACAGGUGGUGCAUGGUUGUCGUCAGCUCGUGUCGUGAGAUGUG
RNAcentral lists this ribosomal RNA (558 nucleotides) under uncultured human oral bacterium A6. Its description in RNAcentral is "bacterial SSU rRNA". It matches the Rfam family "Bacterial small subunit ribosomal RNA", at positions 524 to 1076 of the family's 1533-position model. The record is from RNAcentral.